AACGGCCACACCAUGCUGAAUAUACCGGUUCUCGUUAGAUCACCGAAGUCAAGCAUCAUUGGGCGCGGUCAGUACUUGGGUGGGUGCCCACCUGGGAACACCGUGUGCCGUU
RNAcentral lists this ribosomal RNA (112 nucleotides) under Caerostris darwini. Lineage: Eukaryota; Metazoa; Arthropoda; Arachnida; Araneae; Araneidae. The record is from RNAcentral.